This 468-nucleotide ribosomal RNA is filed under the name uncultured bacterium. Its description in RNAcentral is "partial 16S ribosomal RNA". It matches the Rfam family "Bacterial small subunit ribosomal RNA", at positions 28 to 507 of the family's 1533-position model. The record is from RNAcentral.
GACGAACGCUGGCGGCGUGCUUAACACAUGCAAGUCGAACGGAAAGGCCCUGCUUUUGUGGGGUGCUCGAGUGGCGAAAGGGUGAGUAACACGUGAGUAACCUGCCCUUGACUUUGGGAUAACUUCAUGAAACUGGGGCUAAUACCGGAUAUGAGCUCCUUCUGCAUGGGGGGGGUUGGUAAGUUUCGGCGGUUGGGGAUGGACUCGCGGCUUAUCAGCUUGUUGGUGGGGUAGUGGAUUACCAAGGCUUUGACGGGUAGCCGGCCUGAGAGGGUGACCGGCCACAUUGGGACUGGGAUGCGGCCCAGACUCAUACGGGAGGCAGCAGUGGGGAAUAUUGCACAAUGGGCGGAAGCCUGAUGCAGCAACGCCGCGUGCGGGAUGACGGCCUUCGGGUUGUAAACCGCUUUCGCCUGUGACGAAGAGUGAGUGACGGUAAUGGGUAAAGAAGCAACGGCUAACUACGUG